CAGAGUUUAAAGGGAACGGAAUGGCGGCCCUUAGAAAGAACCACGUGGUCUGUGUGCGCAGUGACUGCUAGAGAUAAAGAGGUGUAAGGUUACCGGUUAUCACCGUUCAUUAAAAUAUUAACUGUUCACGGCUCCUGUAAUGACUGUACAUAGAAUAUUUUAUUGAAUUAUGUCUGGUAGUUAAUAUGCUGGACAUUGUCACUUGGCUUUCCUUAUCCGAGAGCAAUGGGGGGGGAGGGGGUUAAAUUAUUGUUAAUACAUUGAAGUCUACAUAUAUCUUACAUUCAUCAACCCUAUAACUUGGAUACAGUAACGAAACAGUAUAUUUACCUCUUGUAAAUAUAUAGCACACACAUCAAGAUUGUGUUUAAAACAGCAGACUAGGAGAGUGUGUAAAGAACUGUGGUGGAAUCUCGGUAAAAAUAAAUUUAGUAGGCCGAGAUUACCACGUGGUAUGUGUACGUGCAUAUGCUGACGUAUCGAUCAGUUGGUUGCACGAGGCAAGAUACGAUCAGUAGUGUACGGAGCAUGUGCAAGAAUACAGGAUGUAGUAUUCCCCUCCUCCAUUGUGCUGGACAAGCCAUGUGGUCAAGCAGGAAGUUAAUUCUUAUUUGUAAUGAUUGGUCAAGAGAAUGUGCGGGUGGAGCUUAAUAUGGGAGGAGUUAUGUGCCUAUAUAGGGAGCCUGCACUAUUGUUCAGGGCUCAGAACUUGCUGUAUUUUUGGUGACAUUAGUCCCUCUGAGUCCCGAUCGGUGAUCCAAUAAAGAAUCUCUUCCUUCCUGAAGAAACCUGUGUCCAUCCCUCUGUGCUUUGCUUCCGUCAGUUUCUCCGGUAUCAUUUGGUGCAUUGGCCGGGAAGCUCAUCGUUCAACGGUAGCUGAGAGGCAGAGGCGUGAGACGGUCUAUCUUUGCCCACGUUCUCUACGGCUGCACCCCUGAACUUCUGCGUGGACCUCCCUUCGUCUCGGCGCCACUGGUCUGUUGUCCAGGAGAUCAUCGGCCUCUACGUAAGAAGUGCUGGGGUGUCCCCGUCGAUGAGUGUGAACUCAGGUUCAGGAACGAGGAGGUAAGACAACUGCUGUUUUAGACGGCAGACCCACUAGGGGUAUACCGAUUGUGCGGUAGGCCCAAAAGGGGUUUAAAUCUGUGUAUGGAAUCUGCCCCCUCUGUCGGAGGGAAGGAGCGAAGGCGCACCGCUCGAUCGAACGCUCUUUAGUAAGACCGUUUGAUCUGGUUAGUCAGGCGGGGUCCUGUGUAAAUAGCCCUAGCCGGACACCGGUGUCUUGUCUAGACUAGCGUUCUAGGGUGUAUAUUACGUUCGCUAGGUCGGAGGGACCGGGAGACUAAGCGGCGCCUGUGUAAAUUCGGUUCGCUAGCUCUCAACCUAUCUUGGCUAAGUGGGAAGGCGUGUAAAUUUGGAACCCACUAGACUUUUGAUAGAGUAAAUAGACUAGAAGGGCAAUUUUGUAAAUUUCGCCCUCUAGUUCGCUAUAUGUGGUGUUUGGGCAGUGUGGCUAACCAAAACGGGUGUAUAUAGUUUUAGGUAGUCCAUUCAAGGUACUGGCCAAUAGUUUAGUUGGGAUUGUAAAUGUGUUAAAGAUUGUUAGUAAAGUGUAUAUCUUGUUAGAUAGCGCGAGCUCAGCCGUCUAGCGAGAGUGUUAAUAGUGUGUUGCUGUAUCAUAGUGCACGGUACCAUAACCCUGUAUAUUUACUGACACUGUAUAUAAGUACUAAUCAUUGUCGUCUAUUGCAUGUUUAACACCGUAACCACUAAUAAUUGUAUUGUGACCUUAAAUUGUGCUUUGACCUAUGCUAACCGUACUGUAACCGAUACUAGUAAAAGACGAUGUUACUGGGGUGUGUUAUAGACGGGUAAUUCAUAUAUAGAGAAUUAUAGCGUGGGUGACUGUAUAGUUUCGCCAAAGGGCAUAAUAUUGAUUAUUUAGUGACUGGUGUAACAGCUGUGUGUGUACGGGAAUUCCCUGAGUGAUUAUUGUGUUAUUGUGUACGUUUCACUCGGUAACUGUACCACGUGGUGCUGUUGCCAGAGGAAACGGGUGUGACUGUUGAAUAAGAACGCGUGCAUAGUAUUCGUUGUCAACGACGUUCCAUUGAUAAGUAUGGGCGCGUCAGAGUCAACGAUUUCGGAUCCCUUAGGUUGUAUGGUAAAGAAUUUUAAAAAGGGAUUCAAAACAUGUGAUUUUGGGGUUAAAAUGUCUCCUGUACGUUUGGUCACUUUGUGCACUAGGGAGUGGCCUAUUUUGGUUGCGGCAUGGCCGCCGCGUGGCAGUUUGGAUCCAACCCUGGUACAGCGUGUACACGUGGCUGUGUCAGGUAGGCCUGAACUUUACGGACAGUUUCCAUACAUUGAUUGUUGGGGGCAGGCCGUAAACGACUCGCCAAAAUGGAUCCGGAUAUGCCACGAGGAGCAAUGUCGCCUCAUGGUGGCCAGGACUUGUUUGUCCACUAGGACUGGUGUUAGGCCCAUUUUGGACACGCCCCCUGAGUCCGAGAUCCCUUUGCCGCCUCCUUACUUUCCUUUAAGAGGAAGUGACGCGAAUGCAGGAAGCUCUGCACCCCUUCCCCUAUUGCCCCCAUCCACUUCCGCUUCCUCCUCCAGUACAGAAUCCACCCCCCCUCGUAUUAAAACUCCCCUUCCGGAACCAGGACCAACCCCCAUUAGAUCUGAAUAUCCUGAUUUGGCGCCACUUCAAACUUCCGGUCAAGCUUCUUCUAGCUCGGCUCGGAGUAUACUAUUCACUAACUUUUCCCAAAAUCAAGUUCCCACAUCCUCAUGCCCUAUUACCUCUCGACCGGAACCUUUAACUGACGCCCCUCCACGUAGCCCCAUACUAACCCGACAACUGACCGGUACCCAACAAUUAAAACAUUAUCAGAUGCCUCUUCGUCUGAAUCCUGGGUCAGCCUAUAUCGAUGCCGCAGGUCAAAUGGCACAUGCUGACCCAGUCUUCGUAUAUGUCCCGUUCACGACUACCGAUCUCUUGAAUUGGAAGACCCACAAUUCCUCGUACACUGAGAAACCACAAGCUAUGACCGAUCUGUUCACCUCGAUAGUUCAGACACAUAACCCGACAUGGGCUGAUUGCCAGCAGUUAUUAAUGACAUUGUUCAAUAAUGAGGAAAGGACAAGGAUUAACCAAGCGGCCAUUAAGGCGCUAGAGGAGAGAGCCCGUGCUUUAAAUCAAGCCAAUCCGGCAGCAUGGGCCGCAACACAUUACCCUAACACCGAUCCUGACUGGAAUGUAAAUGGCGCAGAUAUGGCUCAACUUAAAGCCUAUAGAGAUGCUAUAAUUGCUGGCAUGAAAGCCGGAGGGAAGAAAGCUAUUAACAUGUCGAAGACAGUUGAGGUGAUUCAGAAAAGUGAUGAAGCGCCCAGUGUCUUUUAUGACCGAUUAUUGGAGGCAUACCGCUUGUAUACCCCCUUUAAUCCGGAAGACGCUGAUAAUUCCCGAAUGGUAAACUCCGCCUUUGUCAGCCAAGCUUACGGAGAUAUUAAGCGCAAGCUACAGAAAUUAGAAGGGUUUGCAGGUAUGUCUAUCACCCAACUAAUGGAGGUAGCGAACAAAGUAUAUAUGAAUAGGGAAACAGAAAGUAAGAAAGAGGAAGAGCGCAAGAUGCGUAGAAAGGCAGAUAUGCUAGCGGUAGCGAUCGCAGGCGUAGAUAGACGGGGCCCAGAUAGAGGCGAUGGUAGAUGGAAUAGGGAGCCUUUGAGUAGGAAUCAGUGCGCGUACUGUAAGGAAGAAGGGCAUUGGAGGAACGAGUGUCCGCAAAGAGAGCAGUAUGAGAGAGACUUACCCAGGGCAGGUUACGGAAACUUUAGAGGCAGAGCGAGAGGUAGAGGAGGCCCCGGAGGGAGUAAUGGUAAUAGAGGGAGUAAUGGGAACAGAGGAAGUGUAAGGGAAGAUAGGUACUAUCCAGCAGCGCAAAGGUCCCGCGAUAGAGAAGGUAGGGACUUUGUGGGAUUGGCUGACACGGUCAUGGAGGACUAUUGAUACCGACCGGGCUCCAUCCCCCUUGGUCGAGCGGAGCCUAUGGUCGAUGUAUCAAUAGGGGGAAAAAGGAGUGCGUUAUGAUCGACACUGGUGCUGAACAUUCGGUGGUGACUAAUCAAGUUGCUCCUCCAUCUGGAAGAACUAUUACUGUAAUAGGAGCAACUGGAAGAAGUGCUGAAAAACCGGUUCUUAAAAGUCGACUCUGUACAUUGGGAGGCCACGUAGUAAAACAUCAAUUCCUUUAUAUGCCUGAGUGUCCAGUCCAAUUGCUGGGACGUGAUAUGCUAUCCAAAUUACAAGCGCAGAUUACGUUCCUACCAAAUGGAACAACAUCCUUAAAGUUUAAUGGACCCUCAGGUAUUAUGACAUUGUCCGUACCAAAGGAAGAAGAGUGGCGACUUUAUACAGUGUUGACUAGCCAAAACCCGAGGAGUGAUGAAUCCUUAUUUAACAUACCAGGAGUUUGGGCAGAGAACAACCCACCAGGACUGGCCCGCAAUAUUCCACCUAUUAAAAUCGAACUAAAACUUGGGGUUUAUCCAGUAAGCCUGAGACAAUAUCAUAUUCCGCAGAAGGCUAAGAAGAACAUCCAAUCUUAUCUGGAUAAGUUCAUACGGUAUGGUAUCCUAAAAUUCUGUACUUCCCCCUGGAACACCCCAUUGCUGCCUGUUCAAAAGCCCGGUACAGAUGAGUAUCGACCUGUGCAGGACUUGAGAGCAGUCAAUGAUGCGGUUGUUAGUAUACAUCCAGUCGUGCCCAAUCCAUAUAACCUGCUUGCUUUAAUUCCGGGCGGGGCUACUUACUUUACAGUCUUAGAUCUCAAAGAUGCCUUCUUUUGCCUCCGAAUUGCCGCAGAAAGCCAAUGUAUCUUCGCUUUCCAAUGGGAAAAUGCUGUAACGGGCUCGAAACGCCAAAUGACCUGGACAAGAUUGCCCCAGGGGUUUAAAAAUUCACCUACCCUAUUUGGUUCAGCUCUAAGUCAAGAUCUACUAGAUUUCGAGUCUAUCCCAGGAGAGUGUGUAUUAUUACAAUAUGUAGAUGACUUGUUGAUAGCAGCAGUUACAAAGGAAGUAUGUCAGCAAGCAACGCACGAUCUACUACACAUUCUCUGGAAGGCAGGAUACAAGGUGUCAAGAAGGAAGGCUCAGUUGUGUUUGCCAACUGUCAAAUAUCUGGGAUUCCAUAUCUCUGAAGGUCAAAGAAUUAUGGGGCCAGAGAGAAAAGAAGCUGUGUGCCAAAUACCGAUACCCAGGAAUAGAAGACAAGUGCGAGAAUUCUUGGGGGCAGCAGGCUUCUGUAGGAUAUGGAUUCCCAGCUACGCGAUACUGGCAAAACCUCUGUAUGCAGCUAUCAAAGGUACAGAGCACGACCCCUUCUUAUGGACUCAAGAACAGCAAACGGCAUUCGAAGAUGUGAAGAGGGCUUUGAUGAGUGCCCCAGCAUUAGGUCUACCUGACCACACACGGCCAUUCUACCUGUAUGUACAUGAGCAAAGAAGAAUGGCUGUGGGAGUAUUGACACAGUACUUGGGAUCAUGGCAAAGACCUGUUGCCUACAUGUCUAAGCAACUGGAUGCAGUGGCCAGCGGACUUCCACCUUGUCUAAGAGCUGUAGCUGCAGCCGCCCUGCUAGUAGCUGAAGCCGAUAAACUCACUCUGGGUCAAGAACUUUAUGUACGAGUUCCACAUGCAGUACAGACGUUGUUGGAUUACAAAGGAAAUCAUUGGUUUAGUAACAGCCGUAUGACCAAGUAUCAAGCAAUGUUGUGUGAAAACCCAAGAGUGCAUUUAGAGACUGUAAAUACCUUAAAUCCAGCUACCCUUUUGCCACAACCUACUGAAAGUCAACAUGAUUGUUUGGAAGUAAUGGAUGAAGUAUUUUCAAGUAGACCAGAUCUUCGUGAUUUUCCCAUCCAGAACCCUGAUGUUCAAUAUUACACCGACGGCAGUAGUUAUGUAAAAGAAGGGAUCCGCUAUGCAGGAUAUGCAGUAACAACGAUAGACAAGGUGAUAGAAGCUCGGCCACUGGCAAAAGGAACAUCAGCACAAAAGGCAGAAUUGAUAGCACUGACACGAGCGUUACAAUUGGCUGAAGGUUUAAGAGUGAACAUCUACACGGACUCCAAGUAUGCGUUUUUAACCACUCAUGCCCACGGAGCUUUGUAUAAAGAAAGAGGACUAUUGAAUUCAGAAGGCAAAGAAAUCAAAUACGCAGCUGAGAUCCUACAACUAUUGGAAGCAGUGUGGGAGCCGAAAGAAGUCGGUAUUAUACAUUGUCGGGCGCAUCUGAGAGGAGAUGGUGAUGUAACCAAAGGGAAUCGGAUGGCAGAUAGUGCAGCUAAGCGUGCUGCUGAAUCAGGAAGACAGGAAUAUGUGGGGCAUAUAGCUGCUCUUAUACCAACUCCACUGUCUCAAUGGACUCCAAUUUAUACAGCUCAAGAAGAGGAGUGGUUAAGGACUGAACCUGGAAAGUAUUUGGAGAACAAAUGGUAUCAGUUAGAAGAUGGAAGAAUAGUUAUUCCAGCAUCACUAGCGGUAGAAAUUGUCCAAAACUAUCAUAACGGGACACAUUCUGGGAGAGACAGUACAGAAGAAUCUCUCAGAAAACAUUUCUACAUACCAAGAUUGUCCAACUUGACUCAGGCCAUUGUACGUAGAUGUGUAACGUGUGCUAAAAAUAAUGCAAGACAAGGACCAGUAAAGCCACCAGGAGUCCAGUUUAUGGGGGGACUUCCCAUGUCCGAUUUACAAAUUGACUAUACAGUGAUGCCUAAAUCGGGUGGACAUCGCUACCUGCUGGUAGUGGUGUGCACCUAUUCAGGCUGGGUAGAAGCAUGUCCUACUCGUACAGAGAAAGCAGGAGAAGUCGUGAGAUUCCUGCUACGAGAAAUAAUACCCCGAUAUGGACUACCCUGCUCUAUAGGAUCGGACAAUGGUCCAGCUUUUGUUCAUCAGUGCCUACAACAAUUGACUCAUAUGCUUGGUAUAAAGUGGAGGCUUCAUACGGCAUAUAGACCCCAGAGUUCUGGUAAGGUAGAGAGAAUGAAUAGAACUAUUAAGAAUCAGUUGGCUAAAAUGUGUCAGGAAACCCAACUUAAGUGGAACGUUCUCUUGCCCAUAGCUCUAUUGCGAAUCCGUAGUACACCUACCAGAAGGAUGGGCCUCUCUCCUUUUGAAAUCAUGUACGGGCGACCACCUCCCGUGCUUGGUAACUUAAGGGGGGAUUUGAGUCAGUUGGGAGAAGGAAUUACCCGGCAGCAGGUUGUAGAGUUGGGUAAGACUAUGGAGGAGGUACAGAAAUGGGUACAAGAUAGAUUACCUGUGAAUAUUUAUCCCCCAAUUCAUAGUUACCACCCAGGCGACCAAGUGUGGAUUAAAGAGUGGAAUAAUGUGCCGUUAGGGCCCAAGUGGAGAGGUCCUUAUGUUGUUCUUCUGUCUACCCCUACAGCGAUAAAAGUAGCCGAAGUGGCUCCGUGGAUACAUCACUCCAGGGUUAAACCAGCAGCAGCCGAUUCCUGGCAAGUUACAGCAAAUCCAGAGAAUCCCUGCAAGAUCCGGUUAAAACGCACGACUCAGUCGGAGUGACGAGGAACCUUGUAGAUUACAAAUUUUAUUGUUUCAGAGACUUGGUAAGUGAGUGAGAAGGCCAUAAUAAAGCCUGUCCACUCACCAACGAGUGUAUAAGUCAGGGAAAGUCUUGAGGGGACCCCUGUGAAGACGAGCAGAACUCCAUUCCCUGCAGUCCUUACAUCCUGGAAGCUGAGGUGCCUUCACACGGACGAAGACUGAGGAUGACGACGAAAGAUGUAUUUUUAAUAAUGUUUAUUUAUGUGUAUUUUUAUAUUCAGGAAGGUAGAGGUACCAACACUCCUAGCUGUGAGGUAUGCAUUAAGACUACAAGAACAGGUAACCAUAUAUCCCAGACCCUAAUUUGGCAUUCGCAAUAUGAGUGUAAAGGAGAUGUAUCAAGAUGUAGAUACUUAAAUAUAGAAUAUAGUGUGUGUCAUUUAGGAGUAGGAGAACCUAAGUGCUUCAGUCCUGAGUAUCAACCCCGUACAAUUUGGUUGACUCUCAGAAAUGGAGAUUCUCAGGGGACCCUAAUUAAUAAGACGGUAUUAAAAUCCGUAUAUUCUUCAGGUGCUCUGCUAUUUGAUGCGUGUAAAGCAAUAUCAAGUGGUAGAAAGCCGUGGAAUGUAUGUGGGGAUCUUAGAUGGGAGAGGACGUAUGGGUCUAACGAUAAAUAUAUUUGUCCCAGUAGUAAAAAUAAAUAUGUAAGUCCAAGAUGCCCAAAUAGAGAUUAUAACUUCUGCCCAUAUUGGUCUUGUGUGGGGUGGGCGACUUGGGGACAGACAGCAGACAAGGACAUGAUUGUGACUAAGUUGCCUACUAAUCCAUAUUGUAAGUCUAUGGAAUGCAAUCCAAUCCAUAUACUUAUAAAUAACCCUGACAAGUUCUUAGAUAAAUAUGGUAAUUUAUUUGGGUUUCAAAUAUAUGGGACGGGUUUAGACCCUGGGACAAUAUUGUUUAUAGGGAUAGAGACUGAUACGGUAACCUCCCAAACUCAUCAAGUAUACCAUUCCUUUUAUGAAGAGAUGAGCAUAGAUAAUAAGAUCCCCCAUAAUGCUAAAAACUUGUUCAUUGAUUUAGCCGAGAGUAUUGCCGGUAGUCUUAAUGUUACCAACUGCUAUGUGUGUGGAGGUACUAACAUGGGAGACCAAUGGCCUUGGGAAGCAAAGGAGGUAAUGUCCGGUUCUGAGGCAGUUGACCAAUUAAUAUCUACACAAGCCGACUAUCAUAUGAGUGUUAGAGGUAAAUCUGAGUGGAGAUUGAAGACCUCCAUCAUAGGUUAUGUUUGCAUAGCGAGGAAAGGAAUGAUGUAUAAUACUUCUGUAGGAGAAUUAACUUGUCUAGGGCAAAAAGCUUAUGAUGAUGAUACAAAGAAUACAACUUGGUGGUCGGCUUCAAAUGUCUCAGAACCAUCUAACCCGUUUGCAAGAUAUGCCAAUUUAAAGGACGUAUGGUUUGAUCUAUCCAUCACAUCUAACUGGAGAGCCCCAGCGAAUUUGUACUGGAUCUGUGGUAAGAAGGCCUAUUCGGAGUUACCACAGGACUGGGAAGGGGCAUGUGUGUUGGGUAUGUUAAAACCAUCUUCUUCUUGUUGCCUAUUGAAACAGGUGAGACUUUAGGUGUUAAAGUGUAUGAUGUGAAUCAUAGGAAGAAAAGGGGACCCAUAGAGAUAGGUGCCUGGGAAGAUAAUGAAUGGCCUCCCCAGCGUAUUAUAGAUUAUUAUGGGCCAGCCACGUGGGCAGAGGAUGGUACCUUUGGUUAUAGAACCCCUAUUUAUAUGCUCAACCGCAUUAUAAGGUUACAGGCGGUGGUUGAGAUCAUUACUAACGAGACAUCACAAGCGCUCAAUCUUCUAGCGAAGCAUAAUACCAGGAUGAGGACAGCAGUUUACCAAAAUAGAUUAGCCUUGGAUUAUCUUUUGGCAGUAGAGGGAGGUGUAUGUGGGAAGUUUAACCUGAGCAAUUGCUGUCUUCAAAUAGAUGACGAAGGGCAAGCAAUAGCUGAGCUUACUAGCCAUAUGGUUAAACUAGCGCAUGUGCCUACUCAGGUAUGGAAAGGGUACAAUCCAAGUAGUUGGUUUGGUAGCUGGUAUGAGUGGUUUGGAGGGCUUAAGGCAGUGGUAGGUGGAGUCCUACUGAUUUUAAUGUUGUGUCUACUCCUGCCGUGUCUUAUACCCUUAGUAGUUAGGUCUGUGCAAAGCCUGAUAGAAAAUAUAGCAGAGAGGAAGGCUGCUGCACAGAUAAUGGCAAUUUAUAAAUAUAAGGCUCUAGAUCAGGGAGAACCAAUGCAGGAAGACGAGUGUUGAAGAUUCACAUCAUAGGAUAAGUCUGGUCUGGUUCAAAGGUAACUUGUGGUGUAUGCAAACCAAGGUUAAGUGAUGCCUCAAGUAAUUGUAAAAUAUCAAGAGGCAUCAAAGGGGGGAAUGUGGUGGAAUCUCGGUAAAAAUAAAUUUAGUAGGCCGAGAUUACCACGUGGCAUGUGUACGUGCAUAUGCUGACGUAUCGAUCAGUUGGUUGCACGAGGCAAGAUACGAUCAGUAGUGUACGGAGCAUGUGCAAGAAUACAGGAUGUAGUAUUCCCCUCCUCCAUUGUGCUGGACAAGCCAUGCGGUCAAGCAGGAAGUUAAUUCUUAUUUGUAAUGAUUGGUCAAGAGAAUGUGCGGGUGGAGCUUAAUAUGGGAGGAGUUAUGUGCCUAUAUAGGGAGCCUGCACUAUUGUUCAGGGCUCAGAACUUGCUGUAUUUUUGGUGACAUUAGUCCCUCUGAGUCCCGAUCGGUGAUCCAAUAAAGAAUCUCUUCCUUCCUGAAGAAACCUGUGUCCAUCCCUCUGUGCUUUGCUUCCGUCAGUUUCUCCGGUAUCAGAACAAGUUUAUAAAAGUUGUACAGCUGUAUAUAUAUAUAUUAUUAUUUAUAUAGCGCCAACAAAUUCCGCAGCGCUUUACAAUGGGUGGAUGAACAGACAUGUAGUUGUAACCUGACAAGUUGGACACACAGGAACAGAAGGGUUGAGGGCAGGGGCGUAUUAGCCGCGAGGCAAACAAGGCAUUUGCCUUGGGCGGCAUUUUUCAGGGGGCGGCAAAAAACGCCGCCCCCCAAAUGCCCAAGGCAAAUGUCUUGUUAGCCUCGCGGCUAACUGACAUCCCGGGCGGGCGGCUGGCGAGGGAGCACUUCCUAUGAGCCGCGCCGCCAGCAGAGUGAGGCUGGGAGCCGGGUUGAUGACGUCAUAUUCCGGCUCCCAGCCUCACUCUGCUGGCGGCGCGCGAGGGAGCUGAGCAGAGCGCUCAGGGGAAGAGCUCCCUCGCCGUCCGCCCGCCCUGCAGCCACUGGACCCCAGGGAGAGGAAGAACCCCCCCCAGCAUUACCAAAGGUAAGGAGGCUGGGGGGGGUUAAAUAAAAAAAUAAAAAUAAAACACUAGUGAGUGUGUGUAUGUCUGCUAGUGUGUGUGUGGAUGUCUGUUAGUGUGUAUGUUAGUGUGUGUGUGUGUUAGUGUGUGUAUGUUAGUGUGUGUGGAUGUCUGUUAGUGUGUGUCUGUUAGUGUGUGUGUGUAUGUUAGUGUUAGUGUGUGUCUGUUAGUGUUAGUGUGUGUGUUAGUGUGUAUGUUAGUGUUAGUGUGUGUGUCUGUUAGUGUUAGUGUGUGUAUGUUAGUGUUAGUGUGUAUGUUAGUGUUAGUGUGUGUAUGUUAGUGUUAGUGUGUAUGUUAGUGUUAGUGUGUGCAUGUUAGUGUUAGUGUGUGUGUCUGUUAGUGUUAGUGUGUAUGUUAAUGUUAGUGUAUGUAUGUUAGUGUUAGUGUGUGUGUGUCUGUUAGUGUGGAUGUCUGUUAGUGUGGAUGUCUGUUAGUGUGUGUGUUUGCCUGUUAGUGUGUGUGUGUGUUUGCCUGUUAGUGUGUGUGUGUGUUUGCCUGUGAGUGUGUGUGUCUGUUAGUGAGUGUGUGAGUGUGUGUCUGUUAGUGACUGUGUGUUUCUGUUAGCAAGUGAAUGCGUAUCUGUCAGUGAAUGUGUGUGUAUUUAGAAGGCGGAGCAGGGGGGAAGGUUGGGUGGCGGUUGCGCGGGUGGGGGUGGCGCGGGGGGGUGCCUGAGUUUUGUCCUGCCUAGGGCAGCACAAAACCAGGAUACACCACUGGUUGAGGGCCCUGCUCAAUGAGCUUACAUGCUAGAGGGAGUGGGGUAAAAUGACACAAAUGGUAAGGAUAGUAUUAGACUAAUGACAGUUGCAAGAGAGGAAUCAGUCGGGAGCUAUUAACAGUUUAAUUGAUACGCUUUUAUGAAGAAGUGGAUUUUUAACGAUUUUUUGAAGGAGGGGAGACUGGGUGAGCAUCUAACAGAGGAGGUAAGGGAGUUACCCAGGAACGGUGCAGCCCUCGAGAAGUCUUGAAUGCGAGCAUCAGAGGUGGGAGUACGGACAGAAGAUAGACGUAAGUCUUCAGCAGAGCGUAAGGACCUACAUGAGACAUGCUUAUGUAUCAGGGAGGAUAGAUAGGUGGGAGCAGCAUUAUCUAGAGAUUUGAAAGCAAGAACCAGAAUUUUAAAUUGAGCCCUAUAUCUUUCAGGAAGCCAAUGUAGUGACUGACAGAAGGGUGAGGCGUGGGAAGACAGGAAGAUGAGCCUCGCUGCCACAUUCAUUAUGGACUGUAACGGUGCAAGUUGGCAGCACGCAAGACCACUGAGAAGCGGAUUACAGUAGUCAAGGCGAGAAAGGACAGUGGAAUGGACCAGCACCUUAGUCGCAUCUUGUUACGCUACUUGGGUGAUUUGGAUUGGAACUCAACUGCAGCUUGUAAAACUCCCUAAUUACAAUAGUGAAGAAACGGAGAAUCUUUAAAGUAUCAAUACUGUAGCUUUAAGAAAAGAGAGAAUUGCUGGUAACUUGAUUCAAACGAAGUUUUAAUAAGUGUUAAACUUAAAUGAA
This is a non-coding RNA of Pelobates cultripes (western spadefoot toad), 12482 nucleotides long. The record is from the annotation of a GenBank genome assembly. NCBI's taxonomy places the organism in Eukaryota, Metazoa, Chordata, Amphibia, Anura, Pelobatidae.